AAAACCUUAAGUUAAAUAAAACUAUUAGCCUUCAAAGCUAAAAUUAUAUAUUAUAUAGGCUUUA
RNAcentral lists this transfer RNA (64 nucleotides) under Helotrephes sp. NKMT027. Its description in RNAcentral is "tRNA-Trp". The record is from RNAcentral. Lineage: Eukaryota; Metazoa; Arthropoda; Insecta; Hemiptera; Helotrephidae. RNAcentral also lists the same sequence under 2 other names.